RNAcentral lists this ribosomal RNA (440 nucleotides) under uncultured bacterium. Its description in RNAcentral is "partial 16S ribosomal RNA". It matches the Rfam family "Bacterial small subunit ribosomal RNA", at positions 339 to 795 of the family's 1533-position model. The record is from RNAcentral.
CUACGGGAUGCAGCAGCAGGGAAUAUUGCACAAUGGACGGAAGUCUGAUGCAGCGACGCCGCGUGGAUGAUGAAGGCCCUCGGGUUGUAAAAUCCUUUUCAGGGGGACGAGGCAGGACGGUACCCUUGGAAUAAGCGUCGGCUAACUACGUGCCAGCAGCCGCGGUAAGACGUAGGACGCAAGCGUUAUCCGGAUUUACUGGGCGUAAAGCGUCUGUAGGCGGAAUGGUAAGUUGGGCGUGAAAGCUCCGGGCUUAACUCGGAGAGGACGUUCAAUACUGCCAAACUAGAGGGCAUCAGAGGAGCGUGGAAUUUCCGGUGUAGCGGUAAAAUGCGCAGAUAUCGGAAGGAACACCAAUGGCGAAGGCAGCGCUCUGGGAUGAACCUGACGCUAAGAGACGAAAGCUAGGGGAGCGAACAGGAUUAGAUACCCUAGUAGUC